UGCGCCGCCAUGUUGUACGGAAGCGGCCGCCGGGAGCGGUGUAGACGGGAACGCGCGGAGCUUCGGGUUUGCGGUGAGGCUUCGAUAUUUCUGUUUUAUUUCCUUGUGGCAUUUUUGAAGCAUCUAAAGGAAGCACCAUGGGAUGUAUCAAGUUGGAAAACAGUGGAGUCACAGAAAUGAACAGGCUGUUGGCCAUCUCCUACAUGAAGAUGGAAUCCAAAUGAAUGAAAAAUGUGAAUGAGAGAAGGAAAGACUCAGAGCCAGUUGAAGAAAAUAAUAUCUUUGUGAAGUUUAAGCCACACAUCACAAAUGGACAGGACUGAGUUGGAGUUAAUGGUACUCAAAUCCUUCACAACUGUAUUGUGAGCACCGAGGAAGAAUACAAGAGCACUAAGUGCCAUUUCUUUAGCAGUUCUCUACCUUUCAAAUGCUUUUGACAAAGAUUUAUCCUUAUUUUUUUGUUUGUGUCCAUGUGAGUGUGUGUCACAUGUCUGUGGGUGCCCAUGGAGGCCCACGGAAGAAAAGAACAAGAAAGCAACUGAGUACCUGAUUCCCAGUGAAAGAAAACAUAGUCUUUCUGUAAGGCCAAGCCCAGGAACCCUGGCCGAGGCCGGAGCAUCAGAAAGAUUGUCCAGAGAAGGAGGCCACACCCAGAUGUGGGCAGCAGAGACUGAACCAGCCCAUCAGGGAAUGGCAACUUCUAUUGACAAAUUCUGAACAACCAAAAGAAACCACCAGGGUCUCUCUGAGGCACAGACGACAAUCAGAGCUGGAGUUCUUAGACACAAAAGGACAUGCUUGGAAUCGGGUUCCCUGGAAAUAGGCAGACUGCGAGCACGUGGGAAACAACUUGUAAGAAGUGCAGCUGCCUGGGUUUCUUCUGGCCUCCGGGUUAACUUUGUCACCAAUGAGCCUCACAGUUCAUUGGAAGUCCUUGUAAAGCUCGCUUAAGUGGAAUUCAAUUAAACGAAGCCAUGAACUAAC
Molecule: non-coding RNA, 984 nt
Organism: Peromyscus maniculatus bairdii (prairie deer mouse)
Lineage: Eukaryota; Metazoa; Chordata; Mammalia; Rodentia; Cricetidae
Source: RefSeq, a predicted model, not a curated record